Molecule: unclassified non-coding RNA, 318 nt
Filed under: uncultured fungus
Lineage: Eukaryota; Fungi
Description: partial contains 5.8S ribosomal RNA, internal transcribed spacer 2, and large subunit ribosomal RNA
Source: RNAcentral
AACGCACCUUGCGCCCUGUGGUAUUCCGCAGGGCAUGCCCGUUUGAGUGUCAUUAAAUCAUCAACUCUAAACACCUUGCGUGUCUAGUGCUUGGUCUUGAGGGUCUUGCAGGCGCCUGGACGUCUGCUCCCUUUAAAUCCAUUAGCGAGACUUCCCUUUGCUGACCGUCUCUUGGCGUGAUAGUUAUCUACGUCGAUACGAGCGGUUCUCGUUGGGCUUGCUUCUAAUCGUCUUCGGACAGCCGAUUUGGGUGCAUAUAUGCGCUCCAUUUCAAACCUUUUUGACCUCAAAUCGGGUAGGACUACCCGCUGAACUUAA